GACGAACGCUGGCGGCGUGCUUAACACAUGCAAGUCGAACGGUAAGGCCCUUCGGGGUACACGAGUGGCGAACGGGUGAGUAACACGUGGGUGAUCUGCCCUGCACUUCGGGAUAAGCCUGGGAAACUGGGUCUAAUACCGGAUAGGACCACUGCCUGCAUGGGUGGUGGUGGAAAGCUUUUGCGGUGUGGGAUGGGCCCGCGGCCUAUCAGCUUGUUGGUGGGGUGAUGGCCUACCAAGGCGACGACGGGUAGCCGGCCUGAGAGGGUGACCGGCCCCACUGGGACUGGGCUACGGCCCAGACUCCUACGGGAGGCAGCAGUGGGGAAUAUUGCACAAUGGGCGCAAGCCUGAUGCAGCGACGCCGCGUGAGGGAUGACGGCCUUCGGGUUGUAAACCUCUUUUAGUAGGGAAGAAGCGAAAGUGACGGUACCUGCGGAAAAAGCACCGGCUAGCUACGUGCCAGCAGCCGCCGUAA
Molecule: ribosomal RNA, 478 nt
Filed under: uncultured bacterium
Lineage: Bacteria
Description: partial 16S ribosomal RNA
Rfam family: Bacterial small subunit ribosomal RNA
Source: RNAcentral